UACGUAGGGUGCGAGCGUUAAUCGGAAUUACUGGGCGUAAAGUGUGCGCAGGCGGCCGCGCAAGUCGAGUGUGAAAGCCCCGGGCUUAACUUGGGAAUUGCGCUCGAAACUACGUGGCUAGAGUGUGGCAGAGGGAGGUGGAAUUCCACGUGUAGCGGUGAAAUGCGUAGAGAUGUGGAGGAACACCGAUGGCGAAGGCAGCCUCCUGGGCCAACACUGACACUGAGGCACGAAAGCGUGGGGAGCAAACAGG
This 253-nucleotide ribosomal RNA is filed under the name uncultured bacterium. Its description in RNAcentral is "partial 16S ribosomal RNA". It matches the Rfam family "Bacterial small subunit ribosomal RNA", at positions 524 to 776 of the family's 1533-position model. The record is from RNAcentral.